GACGAACGCUGGCGGCGUGCUUAACACAUGCAAGUCGAGCGACUGCAUUCUUUUCGGAGGGUGUAUGGAGCGGCGAACGGGUGAGUAACACGUGAGUAAUCUGCCUUUGGCUUUGGGAAUAACUUCGGGAAAUCGGGGCUAAUGCCUGAUGUUUACUGUCUGCUGCAGUGGUGGGUGGUGGAAAGAUUUUUUGGCCAGGGAUGAGCUCGCGGUCUA
RNAcentral lists this ribosomal RNA (216 nucleotides) under uncultured bacterium. RNAcentral's name for it is "partial 16S ribosomal RNA". It matches the Rfam family "Bacterial small subunit ribosomal RNA", at positions 28 to 240 of the family's 1533-position model. The record is from RNAcentral.